GGUCGGUUAGCUCAGCUGGUUAGAGCGUCGUACUAAUACUAUAAGCAAUUAUAACAUUGGUGAUGCGAAGGUCAUGAGUUCGAUCCUCAUACUGACCA
RNAcentral lists this transfer RNA (98 nucleotides) under Xylaria palmicola. RNAcentral's name for it is "tRNA-Ile". It matches the Rfam family "tRNA". Rfam says of the family: Transfer RNA (tRNA) molecules are approximately 80 nucleotides in length. Their secondary structure includes four short double-helical elements and three loops (D, anti-codon, and T loops). The record is from RNAcentral. Lineage: Eukaryota; Fungi; Ascomycota; Sordariomycetes; Xylariales; Xylariaceae.